AGCCAUGUGGUGAGCACAAAGCGAACUAUUCUUUCGCCUUUUACUAAAGAAUACCGUGUGCUCUCCACGCUAAGUGGCAUACGCCUAUUUUUGGAGGGUUCUCGCUUCACCGCGAGC
Small nuclear RNA from Capsella rubella, 117 nucleotides. It matches the Rfam family "U5 spliceosomal RNA". Rfam says of the family: U5 RNA is a component of both types of known spliceosome. The precise function of this molecule is unknown, though it is known that the 5' loop is required for splice site selection and p220 binding, and that both the 3' stem-loop and the Sm site are important for Sm protein binding and cap methylation. The record is from Rfam. NCBI's taxonomy places the organism in Eukaryota, Viridiplantae, Streptophyta, Magnoliopsida, Brassicales, Brassicaceae.